UAAAACGUAGGACACAAGCGUUAUCCGGAGUUACUGGGCGUAAAGGGCGUGUAGGCGGGAGGAUAAGUCUACUCUGAAAGCUCCUGGCUAAACUGGGAGAGGCGAGUGGAGACUGUCGUUCUAGAGUGAGGAAGAGGAAAGUGGAAUUCCGCGUGUAGUGGUGAAAUGCGUAGAGAUGCGGAGGAACACCAGUGGCGAAAGCGACUUUCUGGUCCUUAACUGACGCUGAGGCGCGAAAGCAUGGGGAGCGAACGGGAUUAGAAACCCCGGUAGUCCAUGCCAUAAACGAUGUUCACUAAACGUUCGUUUCCCGCGAGGGAAGCGGGUGUUGAAGCUAACGCAGUAAGUGAACCGCCUGGGGAGUACGGUCGCAAGGCU
RNAcentral lists this ribosomal RNA (378 nucleotides) under uncultured bacterium. RNAcentral describes it as "bacterial SSU rRNA". It matches the Rfam family "Bacterial small subunit ribosomal RNA", at positions 521 to 895 of the family's 1533-position model. The record is from RNAcentral.